This 492-nucleotide ribosomal RNA is filed under the name uncultured bacterium. RNAcentral's name for it is "partial 16S ribosomal RNA". It matches the Rfam family "Bacterial small subunit ribosomal RNA", at positions 29 to 507 of the family's 1533-position model. The record is from RNAcentral.
AGUGAACGCUGGCGGUAGGCCUAACACAUGCAAGUCGAACGGCAGCACAGUAAGAGCUUGCUCUUACGGGUGGCGAGUGGCGGACGGGUGAGGAAUACAUCGGAGUCUACUUUUUCGUGGGGGAUAACGUAGGGAAACUUACGCUAAUACCGCAUACGACCUACGGGUGAAAGCAGGGGAUCUUCGGACCUCGCGCGAUUGAAUGAGCCGAUGUCGGAUUAGCUAGUUGGCGGGGUAAAGGCCCACCAAGGCGACGAUCCGUAGCUGGUAUGAGAGGAUGAUCAGCCACACUGGAACUUAGACACGGUCCAGACUCCUACGGGAGGCAGCAGUGGGGAAUAUUGGACAAUGGGGCGAAGCCUGAUCCAGCCAUAGCGCGUGGUUUAAGAAGGCCUUCCGGUUUUAAAGCCCUUUUGUUGGGAAAGAAAAGCAGCAGGUUAAUACCCCGCUGUUCUGACGGUACCCAAAGAAUAAGCACCGGCUAACUUCGUG